This 461-nucleotide ribosomal RNA is filed under the name uncultured bacterium. Its description in RNAcentral is "partial 16S ribosomal RNA". It matches the Rfam family "Bacterial small subunit ribosomal RNA", at positions 338 to 795 of the family's 1533-position model. The record is from RNAcentral.
CCUACGGGCGGCAGCAGUGAGGAAUAUUGGUCAAUGGGCGCGAGCCUGAACCAGCCAAGUCGCGUGAGGGAUGACGGUCCUACGGAUUGUAAACCUCUUUUGCCGGGGAGCAAGCGUGCGUUCGUGAACGCGCGUCGAGAGUACCCGGAGAAAAAGCAUCGGCUAACUCCGUGCCAGCAGCCGCGGUAAUACGGAGGAUGCGAGCGUUAUCCGGAUUUAUUGGGUUUAAAGGGAGCGUAGGUGGAUUGUUAAGUCAGUUGUGAAAGUUUGCGGCUCAACCGUAAAAUUGCAGUUGAAACUGGCAGUCUUGAGUACAGUAGAGGUGGGCGGAAUUCGUGGUGUAGCGGUGAAAUGCUUAGAUAUCACGAAGAACUCCGAUUGCGAAGGCAGCUCACUGGACUGCAACUGACACUGAGGCUCGAAAGUGUGGGUAGCAAACAGGAUUAGAUACCCCGGUAGUC